This 65-nucleotide transfer RNA is filed under the name Andrena nitida. RNAcentral's name for it is "tRNA-Leu". It matches the Rfam family "tRNA". From Rfam's summary of the family: Transfer RNA (tRNA) molecules are approximately 80 nucleotides in length. Their secondary structure includes four short double-helical elements and three loops (D, anti-codon, and T loops). The record is from RNAcentral. Lineage: Eukaryota; Metazoa; Arthropoda; Insecta; Hymenoptera; Andrenidae.
UUUAAUAUGGCAGAAUAGUGCAAUGGACUUAAACCCCAUAUAUAAAAUCAAAAUUUUUAUUAAAA